Molecule: long non-coding RNA, 678 nt
Organism: Drosophila pseudoobscura
Lineage: Eukaryota; Metazoa; Arthropoda; Insecta; Diptera; Drosophilidae
Exons: 2
Source: RefSeq, a predicted model, not a curated record
ACAACAACAUCCCAUCCCAUCCCCUUCCCCUUCCCCGUAACCGAGCAAACUGCGCAUUAACAGAAUUUUCGCCACAGUCCACAGCCCACAAUCCGUCAUCUACAAUCCACAAUCCACAGACCAAACCAGCCAGCAAUUUGCAAUCCAACAACAACACAACUCAACCUACUCGUAAUGUGUGCUUUAUUAUGCAGCUUAUCUACUUGCAUACGCAACACAUACACUCAGCCAUGCAUGUGUCUGUGCUGUGUCUGUGUCUGUGUCUGCCUCUGCGGCUGCGUCCGUGCAUCUGUGUGGUGUGUGGGAAUUAUUUAUGAUGCUGGUAUGGAUAGCACUAGCCUGGCAGAUGACGUCAGGUCGCAGCAAUUACGAUAGUCACGACCAUUUCGAUAGGCGAUGCGCACGAAAAUAGCUUAUCGCUUAUCGAAAGCCAGAUAGAAGAAGAAAUAAAUUCCUUUCGCAUGGAUAUUGCAUGGAUAUAAAUCACGAUCAUAAACCGAUCAUACUCGUUGAAUCCACCAUGGAUAUACCCAAAACUAACGGGAAACUAAAUCCAUUAUCUGAUUGUACUAUCUUUCUCUCACUCCUCCGCCCAUCCCCCAAAACCAUUAUCUCAAGGUCGACUACAGUUUCUCUCUAAUCAAGUUUAAAUAUAAAGCAUUGUAAAAAGAGUUCAAA